Bubalus bubalis (water buffalo) is the source of this 2261-nucleotide RNA transcript. It is a transcript of the gene named ubiquitin conjugating enzyme E2 D3, with no coding region annotated. The record is from RefSeq and is a predicted model, not a curated record. NCBI's taxonomy places the organism in Eukaryota, Metazoa, Chordata, Mammalia, Artiodactyla, Bovidae. The transcript is spliced from 10 exons.
UGGCAGCUGGCAGUAGUUCCGUCAGAGCGGACAUCUUGUGGCUGUGUCGUGCGCGUGAGCCCCGUAGGGCCGGGGAGGCACCAGCUGCCGCGCGGGGAGGAGGCCGAGGCCGCAGCGUGAGGGAGGCCCCGGCCCCUCUGCGCCUGUGUCUGGCAGAGCCGGUGUGAGACGAAGAGACAAUCCUUCCCAGCCGCCGGGAUAAUCAAGAGUUUUGGCCGGACCUUCGAGCACACACCGAGAUAGUGAGGAACCAGACGAAAAGCACAGACUAUGGCGCUGAAACGGAUUAAUAAGGAACUUAGUGAUUUGGCCCGUGACCCUCCAGCACAAUGUUCUGCAGGUCCAGUUGGGGAUGAUAUGUUUCAUUGGCAAGCCACAAUUAUGGGACCUAAUGACAGCCCAUAUCAAGGCGGUGUAUUCUUUUUGACAAUUCAUUUUCCUACAGACUACCCCUUCAAACCACCUAAGGUUGCAUUUACAACAAGAAUUUAUCAUCCAAAUAUUAACAGUAAUGGCAGCAUUUGUCUCGAUAUUCUAAGAUCACAGUGGUCUCCUGCUUUAACUAUUUCUAAAGGCACCUGGUAUGAAGAAGACUUUAAUACUAUUUUCCAGUUCUUUUAUCCAUUUGUUCACUGCUAUGUGAUCCAAACCCAGAUGACCCCCUAGUGCCAGAGAUUGCACGGAUCUAUAAAACAGACAGAGAUAAGUACAAUAGGUUAGCAAGAGAGUGGACAGAGAAAUACGCUAUGUUGUAGGGUACAACAGAAUAUCUCGGGAAUGGACUCAGAAGUAUGCCAUGUGAUGCUACCUUAAAGUCAGAAUAACCUGCAUUAUAGCUGGAAUAAACUUUAAAUUACUGUUCCUUUUUUGAUUUUCUUAUCCGGCUGCUCCCCUAUCAGACCUCAUCUUUUUUAAUUUUAUUUUUUGUUUACCUCCCUCCAUUCAUUCACAUGCUCAUCUGAGAAGACUUAAGUUCUUCCAGCUUUGGACAAUAACUGCUUUUAGAAACUGUAAAGUAGUUACAAGAGAACAGUUGCCCAAGAUUCAGAAUUUUUAAAAAAAAAAUGGAGCAUGUGUAUUAUGUGGCCAAUGUCUUCACUCUAACUUGGUUAUGAGACUAAAACCAUUCCUCACUGCUCUAACAUGCUGAAGAAUCAUCUGAGAGGGAGGGAGAUGGAUGCUGAGUUGUCACAUCAAAGGAAGCAGCAUUAUUCUAGCAGCAUCCAUUCUUGUUUAAGCCUUCCACUGUUAGAGAUUUGAGGUUACAUGAUAUACUUUAUGCUCAUAACUGAUAUGGCUGGAGAAUUGGUAUUGAAUUUAUAGCAUCAGCAGAACAGAAAAUGUGAUGUAUUUUAUGCAUGUCAAUAAAGGAAUGACCUGUUCUUGUUCUACAGAGAAUGGAAAUUGGAAGUCAAACACCCUUUGUAUUCCAAAAUAGGGUCUCAAAACAUUUUGUAAUUUUCAUUUAAAUUGUUAGGAGGCUUGGAGCUAUUAGUUAAUCUAUCUUCCAAUACACUGUUUAAUAUAGCACUGAAUAAAUGAUGCAAGUUGUCAAUGGAUGAGUGAUCAACUAAUAGCUCUGCUAGUAAUUGAUUUAUUUUUCUUCAAUAAAGUUGCAUAAACCAAUGAGUUAGCUGCCUGGAUUAAUCAGUAUGGGAAACAGUCUUUUGUAAACGCAUAGCUGUUUUUUGUAUAUACUGUUGGGAUUUGCCUCAUUGUUUGACAUCAGAGAUGAUGUAAAGUUCAAGAGAGUGAAUAUUUUGCCAUGUUCAGUUAAAAGUGCGCAGUCUGUUACAGGUUGACACAUUGGUUGACCUGAUUUAUGCAGAAUUAAUAAGCUAUUCAGAUAGUGUAGCUUUAGUAUGCUGCACAUGAUACUGGCAGCCUGGGAGUUCAUAGAUGGACUUGGGACCCAGCAGAUUUGAAACAUGUAUAUGGAGUUUAAGAAAUUUAUUUUCCAGGUGCAACCCCCAUCUAACUAAAUUUUUUCUUCACCUUGUACGCUUGACAGCUGAAAAGACCAUAACAUGGGAGUAAUAAUGGGUCACAAUUUACAAAAUAAAGUACUGUUUUGGUGUGGGAGUUGUCAUGAGGCUAUGUUGAAGUGACUUUAACCAUGUGGGAUAUUGAGUUUUUUUAAUGGAUUGAAUAUCCAUUAAAAUGGAUUUGUUCUGCCAUUUACAUUAAUGAGCAUUUAAAUGCAACAGAUACCAUUUCAGGUGACUUAACAUGAAUGAAUAAAAGUCAAUGCUAUUGGAUUA